RNAcentral lists this ribosomal RNA (439 nucleotides) under uncultured bacterium. RNAcentral's name for it is "partial 16S ribosomal RNA". It matches the Rfam family "Bacterial small subunit ribosomal RNA", at positions 339 to 795 of the family's 1533-position model. The record is from RNAcentral.
CUACGGGUCGCUGCAGUGAGGAAUAUUGCACAAUGGGGGGAACCCUGAUGCAGCAACGCCGCGUGGAGGAUGACGCAUUUCGGUGUGUAAACUCCUUUUAUAUGUCAAGAAAAUGACGGUAGCAUAUGAAUAAGCACCGGCUAACUCCGUGCCAGCAGCCGCGGUAAUACGGAGGGUGCAAGCGUUACUCGGAAUCACUGGGCGUAAAGGACGCGUAGGCGGGUUGGAAAGUCAGGUGUGAAAUCCUAUAGCUUAACUGUAGAACUGCACUUGAAACUUCUAAUCUAGAGUAUGGGAGGGGGAGAUGGAAUUAGUGGUGUAGGGGUAACAUCCGUAGAUAUCACUAGGAAUACCUAAAGCGAAGGCGAUCUCCUGGAACAUUACUGACGCUAAGGCGUGAAAGCGUGGGGAGCAAACAGGAUUAGAUACCCUAGUAGUC